GACAAUCUCAGACCUUGCACCGAUCAUGAACUGGGUGUACCUCGAUGCGCGACCCCUAUCUAGACGAGGUACCUCUAGCAGUCCUCGUCACGGUCAUGCUACACGUAAAGAUUGUGAUAAAGCAGGGUAUUGGUAAUGAGGCCCCAAUGUUGUCUGUGUCAGGAUCCUUUGUAGGGCACAACAGAACCAUAGCUUUACAUCAAGGUGCGCGAUACC
Molecule: ribosomal RNA, 216 nt
Filed under: Omophoita sexnotata
Lineage: Eukaryota; Metazoa; Arthropoda; Insecta; Coleoptera; Chrysomelidae
Source: RNAcentral